Molecule: long non-coding RNA, 1355 nt
Organism: Carassius auratus (goldfish)
Lineage: Eukaryota; Metazoa; Chordata; Actinopteri; Cypriniformes; Cyprinidae
Exons: 3
Source: RefSeq, a predicted model, not a curated record
UGGAAUAUCAGAUUGAGGUAGGUUUGCAACGAUUUAUUAUUUUAUUAUCUUUAAAUGACCUAUUACUUUAAAAUAUAACAUCUUAAACUUCUAAUAAAGCUUCUGUGAUUUAAAUCAGAUGCCUCAAUUAAAUUAUGUGUUUUAACUAACGUUAUAGGCAAAUAAUUGGUCGACCGAUCCCAGACUGCCAUCAUACAGCCAUCUUUAUUACACAACACAGAUGUCUGCCACUCCUGCUGACCUCGAAAAGAUGGGGAACCUGCCUGUGAGUCCUCGUUUGAUCCUGCUUGGUGUUAAUCCGGGCCAAUGGAUGAAACAAUGGAUGAUCAGCCUCGAAGGCCGAAUAAUCUGCGAGGGUGUGCAGCCAACCUUUAUCUCUGGACUUGCUGCAUUGUUCUCUUCGUAUUACAUUUUUAAUUUGCAGUACCAAGAGGAAGCAGCAUCCACACUAGAAUUCCUUCAAAGGUAACAAGUUUGGACUUAUUUUAUUUAUUUCUAAUUAAUAUGUUAGUAUUAGUAUGGUGACAAUAGAAUCCUCAAGCCAUCCUUACUUUCUUCUUUGAGCCGAACACAGUCGGAGUUAUAAAGAGAAAAUAAUAUUCUGGCUUCCCAGCUUUGCAAUGGCAUUGAAUAGAUCCCGAGUUUUUGAAGCUCCAAAAACCGCAUCCAUCCAUCAUAAAAUCCAUACGACUCCAGGGGGUUAAUGAAGUGAAGCGAUGGUUUUUUGUAAGAAAAAUAUCCAUGUUUAUAACUUUUAUCAGCUAUAAUCACUGGCUUCCAGAAACAGCCGUACGCGAGUUCCAGAUAGAGUCGAGUUCCGGCAGAAGAAUGACCUUUGACCCGACAUAUGAAAUCUUAUAUCAAAGUCCUAUUCUUUCAAAACGUCUUAAGCCCUAUUCGGACGGGACUAGCUUCACAGGGGGACGUUAGAGAAAUUUAUGCUUGACAGAUGUACUUUGAGAUUUGAAUCCUGUCCGAAUCUGCCAUGUCUGUCUUUUUCUCACACGACCUCUGUGAAAAUUCCAGAGCAAAUGACCUACUGUUUUUCGUCAAACUCGAGGGUCCUCAGAUUAAUCUAAUCCUGUCCGAAUGCGAAUGUCUGUGAUUGCCAAAAAAGUUUUUUUUCCAAAACGCUUUUUCUUGUGUGUUUUAGUCAACGUGAACUACCAUAAAAUCUCUCGCCGGUAUUCAAGUUUCUGCUUUUUGCGCACCGAUAAUGGAUGUAGAUGUGACGCAUUCGUCAGUUCAAACCUAAGCUUUCGCUACGUCUUCGCCAUACGUCCUACGUCAUGCGUCAGGUCAGAGGUGACCCUUCCGCCAGAACUCAACUCAAUUAUGAACACGCAUAUGGUCAU